Molecule: ribosomal RNA, 459 nt
Filed under: uncultured soil bacterium
Lineage: Bacteria
Description: bacterial SSU rRNA
Rfam family: Bacterial small subunit ribosomal RNA
Source: RNAcentral
AGAUUGAACGCUGGCGGCAUGCCUAACACAUGCAAGUCGAACGGGAGUAGCAAUACCCUAGUGGCGGACGGGUGAGGAAUACGUAGGAAUUUGCCCUUAAGUGGGGGAUAACCCGGGGAAACCCGGAUUAAUACCGCAUGACCUCGAAAGAGCAAAGUGGGGGAUCGCAAGACCUCACGCUUUUGGAGAAGCCUACGUCGGAUUAGCUAGUUGGUGAGGUAAUGGCUCACCAAGGCGACGAUCCGUAACUGGUCUGAGAGGAUGAUCAGUCACACCGGAACUGAGACACGGUCCGGACUCCUACGGGAGGCAGCAGUGGGGAAUAUUGGACAAUGGGCGCAAGCCUGAUCCAGCAAUGCCGCGUGUGUGAAGAAGGCCGUUGGUUGUAAAGCGACUUUAAGGUUAGGGAAAGAAAAACUACGACUCUAACUACAGUGAGUCUUGACGGUACGACAAGAA